This 229-nucleotide ribosomal RNA is filed under the name uncultured bacterium. RNAcentral's name for it is "partial 16S ribosomal RNA". It matches the Rfam family "Bacterial small subunit ribosomal RNA", at positions 568 to 796 of the family's 1533-position model. The record is from RNAcentral.
UGCGUAGGUGGUAACGUGUGUCGGGUGUGAAAGUCCGCGGCUCAACCGCGGAAGUGCAUCCGAAACUGCGUAACUAGAGUGCAGGAUGGGAGAGCGGAAUUCUUGGUGUAGCGGUGAAAUGCGUUGAUAUCAAGAAGAACACCGGUGGCGAAGGCGGCUCUCUGGAAUGCAACUGACACUGAGGCACGAAAGCUGGGGGAGCAAACAGGAUUAGAUACCCUGGUAGUCC